UACGUAGGGCGCAAGCGUUAUCCGGAAUUAUUGGGCGUAAAGAGCUCGUAGGCGGUUUGUCGCGUCUGCCGUGAAAGUCCGGGGCUCAACUCCGGAUCUGCGGUGGGUACGGGCAGACUAGAGUGAUGUAGGGGAGACUGGAAUUCCUGGUGUAGCGGUGAAAUGCGCAGAUAUCAGGAGGAACACCGAGGGCGAAGGCAGGUCUCUGGGCAUUAACUGACGCUGAGGAGCGAAAGCAUGGGGAGCGAACAGG
RNAcentral lists this ribosomal RNA (253 nucleotides) under uncultured bacterium. RNAcentral describes it as "partial 16S ribosomal RNA". It matches the Rfam family "Bacterial small subunit ribosomal RNA", at positions 524 to 776 of the family's 1533-position model. The record is from RNAcentral.